This 28-nucleotide non-coding RNA is filed under the name Homo sapiens (human). Lineage: Eukaryota; Metazoa; Chordata; Mammalia; Primates; Hominidae. The record is from RNAcentral.
UGCCAGUAUUUGGAGAGACUUUAGAUGG